GUGGGGAAUAUUGGACAAUGGGCGCAAGCCUGAUCCAGCCAUGUCGCGUGAGUGAUGAAGGCCUUAGGGUUGUAAAGCUCUUUCAGUAGGGAAGAUAAUGACGGUACCUACAGAAGAAGCCCCGGCUAACUUCGUGCCAGCAGCCGCGGUAAUACGAAGGGGGCUAGCGUUGUUCGGAUUUACUGGGCGUAAAGCGCACGUAGGCGGAUUGGUCAGUUAGAGGUGAAAUCCCGAAGCUCAACUUCGGAACUGCCUUUAAUACUGCCAGUCUCGAGUCCGGAAAAGGUGAGUGGAACUCCUAGUGUAGAGGUGGAAUUCGUAGAUAUUAGGAAGAACACCAGUGGCGAAGGCGGCUCACUGGUCCGGUACUGACGCUGAGGUGCGAAAGCGUGGGGAGCAAACAGGAUUAGAAACCCUUGUAGUCC
RNAcentral lists this ribosomal RNA (425 nucleotides) under uncultured bacterium. RNAcentral describes it as "partial 16S ribosomal RNA". It matches the Rfam family "Bacterial small subunit ribosomal RNA", at positions 354 to 796 of the family's 1533-position model. The record is from RNAcentral.